Molecule: ribosomal RNA, 468 nt
Filed under: uncultured bacterium
Lineage: Bacteria
Description: partial 16S ribosomal RNA
Rfam family: Bacterial small subunit ribosomal RNA
Source: RNAcentral
GACGAACGCUGGCGGCGUGCUUAACACAUGCAAGUCGAACGGAAAGGCCCUGCUUUUGUGGGGGGCUCGAGUGGCGAACGGGUGAGUAACACGUGAGUAACCUGCCCUUGACUUUGGGAUAACUUUAGGAAACUGGGGCUAAUACCGGAUAGGAGCUCCUGCUGAAUGGUGGGGGUUGGAAAGUUUCGGCGGUUGGGGUUGGACUCGCGGCUUAUCAGCUUGUUGGUGGGGUAGUGGCUUACCAAGGCUUCGACGGGUAGCCGGCCUGAGAGGGGGACCGGCCCCAUUGGGACUGAGCUACGGCCCAGACUCCUACGGGAGGCAGCAGUAGGGAAUAUUGCACGAUGGACGGAAGCCUGAUGCAGCAACGCCGCGUGCGGGAUGACGGCCUUCGGGUUGUAAACCGCUUUCGCCUGUGACGAAGCGUGAGUGACGGUAAUGGGUAAAGAAGCACCGGCUAACUACGUG